GAAACACUGCUAUGGAGCAGGACUUGCUUCAGUGGGGCUUUGGUGCUCACUGAGUCUGCCCCUUGAGUGUGCCACU
Molecule: non-coding RNA, 76 nt
Organism: Myotis lucifugus (little brown bat)
Lineage: Eukaryota; Metazoa; Chordata; Mammalia; Chiroptera; Vespertilionidae
Source: Rfam